Molecule: ribosomal RNA, 358 nt
Filed under: uncultured bacterium
Lineage: Bacteria
Description: bacterial SSU rRNA
Rfam family: Bacterial small subunit ribosomal RNA
Source: RNAcentral
GAUGAACGCUGGCGGCGUGCUUAACACAUGCAAGUCGAACGAAGAUGCCGGAGUGCUUGCACUUUGGCAGACUGAGUGGCGGACGGGUGAGUAACGCGUGGGUAACCUGCCUUAUACAGGGGGAUAACAGUUGGAAACGACUGCUAAUACCGCAUAAGCGCACGGUAUCGCAUGAUACAGUGUGAAAAACUCCGGUGGUAUAAGAUGGACCCGCGUCUGAUUAGCUUGUUGGUGAGGUAACGGCCCACCAAGGCGACGAUCAGUAGCCGGCCUGAGAGGGUNAACGGCCACAUUGGGACUGAGACACGGCCCAAAACGUCCUACGGGAGGCAGCAGUGGGGAAUAUUGCACAAUGGGG